GACGAACGCUGGCGGCGUGCUUAACACAUGCAAGUCGAACGGAAAGGCCCUGCUUUUGUGGGGUGCUCGAGUGGCGAACGGGUGAGUAACACGUGAGUAACCUGCCCUUGACUUUGGGAUAACUUCAGGAAACUGGGGCUAAUACCGGAUAGGAGCUCCUGCUGCAUGGUGGGGGUUGGAAAGUUUCGGCGGUUGGGGAUGGACUCGCGGCUUAUCAGCUUGUUGGUGGGGUAGUGGCUUACCAAGGCUUUGACGGGUAGCCGGCCUGAGAGGGUGACCGGCCACAUUGGGACUGAGAGACGGCCCAGACUCCUACGGGAAGCAGCAGUGGGGAAUAUUGCACGAUGGGCGGAAGCCUGAUGCAGCAACGCCGCGUGCGGGAUGACGGCCUUCGGGUUGUAAACCGCUUUCGCCUGUGACGAAGCGUGAGUGACGGUAAUGGGUAAAGAAGCACCGGCUAACUACGUG
Molecule: ribosomal RNA, 468 nt
Filed under: uncultured bacterium
Lineage: Bacteria
Description: partial 16S ribosomal RNA
Rfam family: Bacterial small subunit ribosomal RNA
Source: RNAcentral